Pelobates cultripes (western spadefoot toad) is the source of this 608-nucleotide non-coding RNA. NCBI's taxonomy places the organism in Eukaryota, Metazoa, Chordata, Amphibia, Anura, Pelobatidae. The record is from the annotation of a GenBank genome assembly.
GGAUAUCACUACUGAGCAAAUAAUUACUAGUGUGUAGGAUGUAACUACUGAGCAAAUAAUUACUAGUGUGUAGGAUGUAACUACUGAGCAAGAAAUCACUAUUGUGCAGGUUAUCACUAAUCCACAGAAUAUUACUAGUGUGCAUGAUAUCACUAAUCCGCAAGAUAUUACUAAUGUGCAGGAUAUCACUACUGCGCAGGAAAUCCCUAGUAUGCAGGAUAACACUAAUCCGCAGGAAAUCCCUACUGAGCAAGAAAUCACAGCUAAUCGUAAGGGUUGGACCAAUUUGACUUCAUGGAAAAUGGCAGAACGAGAAAGCGAGGACAAUGCUUGGGAAAUGGUGGCCACUAAGAAGCGGCAGGGGGUAUUUUGGUGGCAAUUUAAUUACUAUUGCCGUGAUACUAAAACCAUGUGUUCUUUAAAUGUGUACAGGAAUUUGGGAUUGUGCACAGGCAACUAUAUUUUUUGUUGAUAGAUUUCGGCUGAUGAAUACUUUACGCUGAUCAACAAAAGUGCGGUGAAUAUUAAAUUAAUUCACCAUAAAUAGACCCUGAUGUGUGCUCUUUUUAUAGUGAAUCAAUAAAAUAGAUUAGCAUAGUACUUUAAAG